This is a non-coding RNA of Paramarasmius palmivorus, 86 nucleotides long. The record is from the annotation of a GenBank genome assembly. NCBI's taxonomy places the organism in Eukaryota, Fungi, Basidiomycota, Agaricomycetes, Agaricales, Marasmiaceae.
UCCCUGGUAGUUCACUGGUCAGUACACGCGCCCAAAAUACACAAAGUCGCAGGCACGAGAGCUGGGUUCGAUUCCCAGCUAGGGAU